ACUACGGGUGGCAGCAGUGGGGAAUAUUGCACAAUGGGGGAAACCCUGACCGAGCAACGCCGCGUGAACGAAGAAGUUAUUCGUAAUGUAAAGUUCUUUUAACAGGGAAGAAAGAGAAAUUUGACGGUACCUGAAGAAUAAGCUCCGGCUAACUACGUGCCAGCAGCCGCGGUAAGACGUAGGGAGCGAGCGUUAUCCGGAAUUAUUGGGGGUAAAGGGUGCGUAGAUGGCAUAGUAAUUCUUUUGUAAAAAUGCUGGGCUCAACCCAGUAGGGCAAAAGAUACUGCAAAGCUAGAGUAUGACAGAGGCAAGUGGAACUACAUGUGUAGCGGUAAAAUGCGUAAAUAUAUGUAAGAACACCAGUGGCGAAGGCGGCUUGCUGGGUCGAUACUGACAUUGAGGCACGAAAGCGUGGGGAGCAAACAGGAUUAGAUACCCGGGUAGUC
RNAcentral lists this ribosomal RNA (446 nucleotides) under uncultured bacterium. Its description in RNAcentral is "partial 16S ribosomal RNA". It matches the Rfam family "Bacterial small subunit ribosomal RNA", at positions 338 to 795 of the family's 1533-position model. The record is from RNAcentral.